GACGAACCGUGCAAACGUUGUUCGGAAUCACUGGGCUUAAAGGGCGCGUAGGCGGCUUAUCAAGUCGGGGGUGAAAUACUUCAGCUUAACUGGAGAAGUGCCUUCGAUACUGGUGGGCUUGAGGGAGGUAGGGGUCUGUGGAACUUCUGGUGGAGCGGUGAAAUGCGUUGAUAUCGGGAGGAACACCGGUGGCGAAGGCGGCGACCUGGGUAGAUACUGACGCUGAGGUGCGAAAGCGUGGGGAGCAGACAGG
Molecule: ribosomal RNA, 253 nt
Filed under: uncultured bacterium
Lineage: Bacteria
Description: partial 16S ribosomal RNA
Rfam family: Bacterial small subunit ribosomal RNA
Source: RNAcentral